CAGAGCUGUGGGGUGUCACCAUGGCCUGGACCCCUCUCCUGUUCCCCCUCCUCACUUUCUGCACAGGUUCUGUGUCCUCCUAUCAGAUCACACAGCUGCCCUCGGUGUCAGUGUCUCAAGGACAGACGGCCAGGAUCACCUGCUCUGGUGAUAAACUUGAUGACAGAUACAUCUCCUGGUACCAGCAGAAAGCAGGCCAGGCCCCUGUGCUGGUGAUAUAUGAAGAUAGUGAGCGGCCUUCCGGGAUCCCUGAGCGGUUCUCUGGGUCCAGCUCAGGGAACACGGCCACCCUGACCAUCAGUGGGGCCCAGACUGGGGUGGGGGACGAGGCCGAUUAUUACUGUGGCAGAGCUGAUGGCAGUGGGAGCAGCUGGCGGUGA
Otolemur garnettii (small-eared galago) is the source of this 380-nucleotide non-coding RNA. The record is from the annotation of a RefSeq genome assembly. NCBI's taxonomy places the organism in Eukaryota, Metazoa, Chordata, Mammalia, Primates, Galagidae.